This 84-nucleotide transfer RNA is filed under the name Deferrisoma palaeochoriense. Its description in RNAcentral is "tRNA-Leu". It matches the Rfam family "tRNA". From Rfam's summary of the family: Transfer RNA (tRNA) molecules are approximately 80 nucleotides in length. Their secondary structure includes four short double-helical elements and three loops (D, anti-codon, and T loops). The record is from RNAcentral. Lineage: Bacteria; Pseudomonadati; Thermodesulfobacteriota; Deferrisomatia; Deferrisomatales; Deferrisomataceae. RNAcentral also lists the same sequence under 2 other names.
GCGAGAGUGGCGGAACUGGUAGACGCACUGGACUUAGGAUCCAGCGGCUCGGCCGUGGGGGUUCGAGUCCCCCCUCUCGCACCA